AUAGUAAAAAAGCAAAACUACUGAAAAGCAGUGACGCAAAGCCAAGGGUCUAAGCCGAAAGGUAUGACAGCCGGUUGCCAUG
Molecule: non-coding RNA, 82 nt
Filed under: Hominimerdicola alba
Lineage: Bacteria; Bacillati; Bacillota; Clostridia; Eubacteriales; Oscillospiraceae
Description: Ruminococcus albus c-di-GMP sequence
Rfam family: c-di-GMP-I riboswitch aptamer
About the family: GEMM was predicted in a large-scale screen for bacterial structured RNA regulatory elements.
Source: RNAcentral